UGAAACGUGCGUACCUAAAUGUGAGGC
This 27-nucleotide small RNA is filed under the name Bombyx mori (domestic silkworm). RNAcentral's name for it is "piRNA piR-bmo-1718695". Lineage: Eukaryota; Metazoa; Arthropoda; Insecta; Lepidoptera; Bombycidae. The record is from RNAcentral.